This 71-nucleotide transfer RNA is filed under the name Haliclystus antarcticus. RNAcentral's name for it is "tRNA-Trp". It matches the Rfam family "tRNA". From Rfam's summary of the family: Transfer RNA (tRNA) molecules are approximately 80 nucleotides in length. Their secondary structure includes four short double-helical elements and three loops (D, anti-codon, and T loops). The record is from RNAcentral. Lineage: Eukaryota; Metazoa; Cnidaria; Staurozoa; Stauromedusae; Haliclystidae.
AGGGAAGUAGAUUAAGUAGAUCGAGUGGUCUUCAAAACCACCAGGUAUUGGUUCGAAUCCGGUCUUCCUUG